Molecule: long non-coding RNA, 1236 nt
Organism: Numida meleagris (helmeted guineafowl)
Lineage: Eukaryota; Metazoa; Chordata; Aves; Galliformes; Numididae
Source: Ensembl
UAGAAAUGUAAUAAUUUGGCUGGAGUAAGUCCAACCGCAUUGUAAAGUUAAUGAAUUCCUUAGCAGAUCUUUUUUUUUUUUUUUUUUUAAGACGUUGCAUUCAGAAAGAGCCACCGAGCACAAAAUUAAUUGGGCAGGCUUACAAAAUAUCCAACUCAGACAUUAUAGGAGUCAAUGAGAGAGGUUGUGUGGAGAAAGGCUUAUUGCUUUUAUCUCCCCGCGUGUCACAGUUGUACAGCCAGCGAUGAUGAUGCUUUAUAUUGAAAAUUAAAGGAGUGCUUCAAAGCCAAUUUAGAAUGAGAAAGGAAAAACUGUUGUUGCGGGACUAAACUUGGUGGGAAUUGUGACUUACCACUGCAGCACAGCCCCAGGGCUCGCUGCUGGCAGGCGUCUGCUGACCUGAUCUGGAGCUUUUGCACAGGUCAGAGCAUAAAGUGAGCACAGUGCACGUGUGGUCUUGGAUUUCCCCAUGGGGACAGAGGUGCUUUGCCCUGGGACUCACUCUGCAGCAUCUCUGAUGCUUCUGCCUGCAUUUUAUGCUGGGACUGGCUUAUGUCUCCACCUUCUCCUGGUGCUGAGAUGGUUCAUUCACCAUCUUUGCAUGUUGGAACAAAACUACCAGUGUGCCUGCUGGAGUCUGUGAGAAGAAAACCCCUUUGUAUGUGAGGAUCCAAAUCAAUGUGACCUAACAUUAAGCUUUAAGUUAGUCUUAGUCCCCUGAGUUGUAUCCAUCAUCAUAGCAAAUUGAGGGAUAAGAGACAGAAGUCUCUUCAGCAUCAUGAUGCCCUGUCCCUGGAGACACCCAAGGUCAGGCUGGACUCUGAGCACCUGAUGGAGCUGUGGGUGUCCCUGUUCAUUGCAGGGGAGUUGGACCAGAUGGCCUUCAGGGGUCCCUUCCAUCUCAAACCAUUCUGUGAUUCAGUCAUUCCAGCCAUCCUUGCUUCUCUCCCUGGACCACAAAGGAAGGCAGAAAGAUACAUCACCUACUUUGGCAUCUCAACGAGGAGCAUGAAGAGUCUGAAUGAACCCAAAUCCCAGGACCCAUAUAGAGCCCUUCAGCACGCAAGUGACUUCACAAGCAAACCAAACCCGAGGAGAAUUUCUGGGACGGCAAGUCUCUUAGGAGCUCUUAAUAUCACGUUGGCUGCAGAGUCCUCCUGCUGGAAAUCAUAAAUAUGAGUCACUCUUGAAAGAUUCACUGCUGAGUUUAAAAAAUAAAUUGCUCAGAAGAACCCA